Molecule: long non-coding RNA, 1688 nt
Organism: Phyllopteryx taeniolatus (common seadragon)
Lineage: Eukaryota; Metazoa; Chordata; Actinopteri; Syngnathiformes; Syngnathidae
Exons: 3
Source: RefSeq, a predicted model, not a curated record
AGAAGCAAAGACAGGAAGCAGGCAGUCCCGCUCAGGAACAAGGUCAGCAUGCUCAUCGGACGCCGAUCCAGCCGGACCAGAGGGACAAGCAGACAGGGAGCCUCUGAUAGGCCGGAGAAGAACUGCGCGGAGUAAACGUUGACGCCGAACGAGCCAAUGUUCAUACAGAUGCCGAAGUAUGUCAGCGCAGUUACAGCACUGGCCAAUCACGACACAGAUGAGAAUUAUACUCAGCAUGGAGGGACAACAGAUCUGCAGCACAGCACUGAGAGCAUUAUCACAUACUGAAGGAGCAGCUGUUGAUACAGGAGCAGCAAACGCCUGUCAGGCAGCGAACGGCGAGGAAGACGAACGGCUGCGGGAGGACAGCAGGCACCAGGCCGCAUGCCGCCUGCACCGACAAGCACACCAGCAGCAGCGGACGCUUGCCAUACCUGCGCACGUAAACACAAACGUGUAAUGUGAUGGCGCCAUCAGAGAACACCUGCGACACAGCUGAGAAGUCGGCUACAGGGAGAGAGAGAAAACAGCCCAGAAUUCUGUGACUCUGUAUACUUUGGCUGAACUCUGAGGAAAAAAAAGACAGAACAAAUUGCAAUCUUGUGUGAGUUUCUUAAUUAGUGACCCUUUCAGAGAAAACCGAACACGCAAUGGUGAGUUUUGCAAAGGUUUAUUAAUUUGGGCCUCGGGCCCUGGGGAGCAAGCAGUUGGCGCAAAAUCUCCAACAGUAUGGAGAGAUGUUUCGCCAUCUGAACAUUUUGCAUACAACAAUUGAUUGAUUGACACUUCUAUGCUUCAAGAGACUUGUAGACUUUCAUUAAAUCUUUUGUGUAGGCCUAAAUUAAAAGUUGUCAAUCAAAUAUAUCCCCUCAGUCAGUGCAGGUGGGUGGAUUUGGGACACAUUUGUGCGUAACUUGGUAUUUAAGACAAAUUCUGCUUGCUGCCAUGGUACAGAAGCUUUGCUGCAUAGCUUUGCUUGGCAUCAGUUGGCCCAAACUUGCAUACUGCGAUAAAAAGCCAUGAAAACAAAAUUAUAUCGAGGUGAAUGGGACGUCCACCAACCUAUAUUAACGCGCAUGCGCCAGAAUUACAUCACGAUGACGUUUCGCAAACGCUCCCAUAGAGUAGCUAGUAUUAUGACAAGCCAUAGCUGCUAUGUCUGAAUGACUUUGGGUAUGUUCGGUAAUUCAAUCUGACGCUCUCACUGCCAUUCUGUGAAUCCAGUGAUCAGAGAGGCAGAGCGUGCUCAAUUUUCUAUGAAUUUACGAACUAUCAUGUUGGCCAUUUGCAGGAAUACAUCAGUUCCUCCGCCAUAUUGAAUGUGUCAGUUCUGCCUGUAAACAUCCGGCCGCUCUGUCUCCUCAGUCAGAGCGGCAUUGCGAAUAACCGAACAGCACACUGCAACAAUGCAAGGCAGUGGGAGUCACUACUUACUACAGGUCAAACUUUGCUGAUAUCCCAUUUCCACCCACUACAGGAAUCAGAAUGAGAAAAGGUGUCUUUAUUGAUUUUUGGUGAAUAUUUUUGAUAAUUAAUAGCACACAGUUUAACCAAAAUGCAAGAUAGCAGCAAGGUUUGACAUGUAGUAAGUAGUGGACUCCCAUUGCCAACUACUACAGUAAACAGAAUGAAAAAACAAGAACAUCUAUAUGAUAUAUGGUGAUUUGUUACACAUUUUUCACCCUGGG